UUUUGUAUAAAAACUGAGGUUAAUUUAAAGAAUAAAUUGAAGAUAAGAAAUUAAAAUGAUUUGUUCUACAAUGUAUACCUGAGAAGAGUGAUUUCUUUGAUCAAAGAGGAGUUUAAUUCAGAUUAUUCAGAAAGAGCUACUCAGAAGCUCUAUAGUUCAUGAGCUAGUUGUUAUUUUCUAGAGAUCAUUUUAUUUUAAGCUGUUGUACAUUGUUGAUGAUGUCAUGGAAGUAGGAAAGAAGCCUUUAUAAUAUAAUUUUAUGAAAGAAAUGAAAGGCUUUUUUCCCAUUUAUGAUAGUAACAACACAACACAGAUGUUUGGUGUUUAGUCUCAAAAAUUUGGUCACCUUAGUGAUUCUCUCCAAAGUGCAAAGUCUUUAUCACUCAAUUUUAACAAAGAAAAUAGGGCUUGUAUUUUUGAAGGAUGAGUUAUGAGCUAAUUUUAAGAUGGUAUAGUUUUGGUAGAGUACUUUUGUCUUAGUAAAAUGAAAGAUUUGGGUAACUCCCCAAAUGCCUUGUAAAACAAUUGGGUUUGUAGAAGGUUGCUGUGUCAGCAAAAUAUGUGAUAGAAUAAAGAGUUUUGUACCUGCUUUAAUUUCAUGAAAGUCUUUUUUACUAGUGAGCUGAGAUUUGCCAUAAAUUAGUAUGAACUUCAUGGGUCUUUUUUCUUUUGAGACAGGGCCUCACUCUGUUACCCAGGCUGGAGUGCAGUAGUGUAAUCAUAGCUCACUGCAGCCUUGCUCUCCUGGUCUGAAGCAAUCCUCCCACUUCAGCCUCCUGAGCAGCUGGGACUACAGGCACAUGCUGCCACACCCAGCUACUUUUUUUUGUUUGUUUGUUUUUUGUUUUAAUGUUUAGUAGAAAUGAAGUCUUGCUAUAUUACCCAGGCUGAUCUUAAACUCCUGAGUUCAAGUGAUCUUCUGCCUUUGCCUGCCAAAGUGUUGGGAUUACAGGCAUGAGUCAUGGUGCCUAGGCUCCUGGGUGUUUUGUGGGGGAGUUUGAAGAGUCAGUGUCUCUUCAUUUUUAUAUAAAAAGUUUGGGUCUAGAGCUGAUAAAUGAAAAUAAGCUACCAAAUAACUUUUUUUUAAAAGUCAAAAUAGAAGCUCUGUGACAUUUUAAGCUUGUGAUCAAACUAACUUAAGGACCUGCCUCUGUCAAUUGAGAUGCAUCUUGUUUCAUCCAUCUUUCUUUUAGUUUUAAUUUUUAUUAUUAUAAUUUUUAUUUAGCUACCCUAUUAACAAACCAUCCUUUUAUUUAAAAAGACCCUGUAUUUUAGAAAAUAGAUUUACAGAAAAAUUGCAAAGAUUGUACAGUGUUCCCAUGUACCCCAUACUUGGUUUUCCUUAUUAACAUAUUAGCGUGGCACAUUUAUCACAUUAAUGAAGCAGUAUUGCUAUUAUUGAGUUCAUACUUUUUUCAGAUGUUCUUAGUUUUACCUAAUGUCCUUUUUCUAUUCCAGGAUCCCUUCUAGGAUACCACAUUAUUAGAUACAGUCAUUGUGUUCCCUUAGACCCCACUCAGCUGUCAUAGUUGUCUCAUCUGUUUUUCUUUUUCUUUUUUUUUUCCUCUUUUUUUUUUUCUUUUGUGUUUUUAUUUUUAUAUAAACAUUAUACCUUGGUAUAUCUGGAUUGGGCAGGAGCCCAAAACACUUUUAAAGACAGGUAACUUAAUCCUAGCAGGCUCAGCAAAUCAAUGAUUUCUUUUUGACUGAGAUCUUUUGUAGCUUUAAAUUGGUUACUUCUCAGGAUGCUCCAGUGCUGUAUAUGCAGUUUUAGGCUGUUCACCUGUUCUGGUAAUUUAUCUGCUCAGCUUCUUGAGAAACAUUAAACAUUUGGCAAGUUGAUCAAGUCAGGGAGUCAGCUGGACCCAUUAGACUGUACACUGGUGUGAGAAUUAGCUUGCUAUCUUGGCUAAAUCCCAAAGCUUGUUGAGUAGAUGUAUCCCUUCCUGUUGACCUGUGGAGGAGCUGGUGAAGUUAAGAAAGGCUGAGAAUCAGAAGAAGCCAUAUUCCCAGACAGACUUGUGGUGUUGUCAGCAGUCUUUUUUUUUGAGACAGUCUCACUCUGUCACCCAGGUUGGAGUGCAAUGGCAUGAUCUCGGCUCACUGCAACCUCUGCCUCCCAGGUUCAAGAGAUUCUCCUGCCUCAGCCUCCUGAGUAACUGGGAUUACAGGUGCCCUCCACCACACCCGGCUAAUUUUUUUUUUUUUUUUUUUUGCAUUUUUAGUAGAGAUGGGGUUUCACCAUGUUGGCCAGGCUAGUUUCAAACUCCUGACUUCAAGUGAUCCACCUGCCUUGGCCUCCCAGAGUGUUAGGAUUAGAGGCAUGAGCCACCAUGCCUGGCCCAAAGUCAUUUGCCCAGAGUCUUCUUUUUUAGUUGUGGACAGUUCUAAUUUACAUUAGUAAUCUAUUAAUGUACUUAGUAUUUAUUUCUUCUGUCAAGAGUAAUGAGAGUUAAUUAGAGGAGAUAAUAAUAAAGUUAUUCAUGUGGCUGUCUGCUUUGAAAGGGAAUUUCAGAAUUUUGACUGGAGUUUGGAUCUCCCACCUAGUAUUAACUUUGCCAGCAGGUGGCAGAAGUUCCCAUGUUAUAAAAAUAUAGUCACUGGCAGUCUCCUUGCCAUGGUGCAUCAGAGCAGAGUAUGAGUCUUGAGGUGGAGGGACUCAUGGCAGGACAGGCGUUUAGAAAGUUUCUUCCAUUCUUUGACUGAGUAUUGGUUGAAAAGAGUGCUGCUGAAACUGUAACCACAGGAGGCAUUACACUUCCAGAAAAAUCUCAAGGAAAAGUGUUGCAAGCAACAGUAGUCGCUGUUGGAUCGGGUUCUAAAGGAAAGGGUGGAAAGAUUCCACCAGUUACCGUCAAAGUUGGAGAUAAAGUUCUUCUCCCAGAAUAUGGAGGCACCAAAGUAGUUCUAGAUGACAAGGAUUAUUUUCUAUUUAGAGAUGGUGACAUUCUUGGAAAGUACAUAGACUGAAAUAAGUCACUACUGAAAUGGCGUCAACAUGAAGUUACCCUUUCAACUGAAGUUCUGAAAUCUUUCAUCAUGUAAAUAAUUUCCAUAUCUCUCUUUUAUAAUAAACUAAUGUUAACUGAUGAAAAAAUAUAUAGUCACUGAUUAAGACAGGUAAGAGUAUGUUGUUUUGUUUUAGAAGUAGAUGUAACUUCUGGUAUUUAAAUUUUUCUCAUUUUUCUCAUUAUAUUUCAUUAUAGUCUGUUUUAUACUUUAGUAGACAGAAUGGUAUCUAACAAUACUAGCAAAGCAGGAACAGCAGUAUUAUCAGAAAUUUUUAAAUACUUAAAAGUACGUGAACCACAGUUGACAUGCAGUUGUUACAUAGCAGAGUGUCAUUCCUGAUAGUGGCACUUACCUUCAGCCACCGAAUUAGGGAAAUGAAGUUGUAUACAAAGCUCCUAAGUAGGACCAAGGAAUUGUAACGUCAUGGUCCCUUCUGAUGCUGGUAAGAGGAGACAGCCUGCUCCCCAAAACUUAACUAAAAAAAUCAGGCCAGACUAAGUGUGGUCAGAAAUCUGGCUAUGGGAGAUUUAGAGGUAUUCUUAACAAAUGUUGAUGGUAAUAAUCAACUUUCAGCACCCAUCGUGUAGACUGUACAGUUUCUCAGCUUGUCUGAAGAUUUACCACUCCAAGGAUUCCCACAUUUCUCUGAGCCAGAGGAUGCUUUGGAAAAGAUUGUGUACAUUGGAAACUUAGGGAGAUUUGAUGCUGAAGUUGCUAAGUACAAAGUCAGCAUAGUCACUUCGUUACCUUGCUUGUAUCUCUUUUUUUCCCUUAAUUAUAAAAACGAAAAAAGGAAAAACAACUAAACUUACACUAAUACAACAUAAAUACACGUAAAUUUUAAAAGCGAUUGUGGGUCUUACCCUCAGUCUCAUUCUACUUUUUGCAACCUAUAGUAUUGCCUAGAAUAACUCACUUAACAAAUAUUGAUGGAAUACCUUGCAAUGGGCCUUACUCUUUUUCAAGGUGGUGAGAUUGUAGCAGUAAAUAAAACAGGCUUAAUCUCCCUGCCAAUGUGGAACUUAAAUUCUGGCAGAAGGAAAGAGACACUAAGUAAAUUAUCUGGUUGAUCAGAAGAUAAGUGCCAUGGGGCCGUGUGCAGUGGCUCAUGUCUGUAACCCCAGUGCUUUGGGAGGCUGAAGUGAGAGGAUCACUUGAAGCCAGGAGUUUUGAGACCAGUCUGGGCAAUAUAGCAAGACCCUGUCUCCAAAAAAAAAACCUCUAAAAAUUGGUUGGCUGCAGUGGUAUGUGCCUGCAGUCCCAGCUGACCCUCAGGAUGCUAAGGCAGGAGGAUUUCUUGAGCUCAGGCAGUCAAGGCUGCAGUGAGCCUUGAUCACACCACUGCACUCUAACCUGAAUGACAAAGGAAGACCUUUGUCUCAAAAAACAAAAAAGUCAUAGAAGUUGGGGAGAAGAAAUACAGAGUUAGGGGAGGCAGGGCAAUGUUGGAAUCUUACAGAGAAGACUCCAUCAAGAUAGCACUUGAACAAAGGCUGGGCAGCAUGAAAUUGAACCUUCUGGACACCUGGGAGGAGAGAAUUCCAGGCAGAGACAGCAUGGGAAAAGCCCUUGGGAUAUGAGCUUGUAAGCGGGCUCUAGGAACAGUGCGGUAGCCAGUCAGGGCUGAAGCAAACCAAGGAAGAGUGAGAGACAAGGAAGAUAUGAGCAGGUGGUGCUGUAGACUAUAUAGAGCCUUGUGUGAACUUUGGCAGCCACUCUGAGAUGGGGGGCUUUGAGCAGAGUAGUGAUAGGGUCUGGCUUGUGUUUUAGGGGAAUGGUGAGCAAAGGUGGAAACAAACCAAUUAGGAGGCAAUUUACAGUAGCUCAGAAGUACAGUUGGCUUUUACCAGGGUGCCAGAAGUUAGAAUCUUGAGAAUUGAUUAGAUUCUGUACUUAUCUUGAAGGUAAAACUAAUAGGAGUUGUUGAUAGGCUUGAUGUGUAAUGUGAGAAAAUAAUGCAUCAGGGUUGAUUUCUAGGUAUUUUUGAGCAGUUGAGAUGAGAAAACUGUAGGUAGCACAGAUUUGUGGCUGAAUAUCAGGAAUGUGGUUGUGGAUAGGUAAGUUUGAGAUGCCUGGUAAUUAUCCCAGGGGCGAUGACAGAUAGGCAGCAGGAUAUUCUAGUCCAGAGUUGAAGGGAGUGACUCAGGCUAGAGAUAGAAUUAUGGGAGUCAACAUGUAAAUGGUAUUUAAAGCCAUGAGACUAGAUGAGAUUACUAAGGCAGUGAGUUGUAUAUAGAGAAAGGUCCAAGGACCGAGUAUUGGUCACUCCAGAUGCUAAGAGGUCAAGGAAUGAGGAAGAACCAGCAAAGACAGAUAGUGGCCAGUAAGGUAAGAAAACCAGCCGUGUGUGGUGUCUUGGAAACCAAGUCAAGUUUAAGGGAAGGAAUAAUCAACUGUGUCAUGUGCUGCAAAAAGGUCAAGUACUGUGAGCUGUAACAGUUGUAGUAGUCAGUGUUGAGGUCCCUGGGACUUUGACAAGUGCUGUUUCAUUGGAGGGCAGUUGCAAAUCUGGAAUGUGUUUGAGAAAGAAUGGGGUGUCCUCAUAAUAAGAAAAAGGCCGAGCAAACUGAUAAACAGCUUUUCUUACAUCUAUCAGAGAAUUGAGGUCACAGGGCAAAUCUUCACUACAAAAACAAGCAGGAAAAUGGAGGAGAUCAGCUCACCUAAGGCAGAAGCUGCUGGAGCCAGUAAUUAAGAUUUAAACAAAUUGCUGUGAGCUAAGUGUGGACUAACUAGCUUGAGAAUUCAAAACCAGGAGCUAGUCUAAGGGGACCCCACACUUUGGUGGGUUUUACCUCAAGGAGACCCACUGGGUUCUCCUGUAAAGAUGGCAGGAAAAUUCCCUUGUGCUUUGGACACAAGAAGGGGAAAGUAACCAUUCUGAAAUACAUCCAGGAAGAAAGUAGCCCCAGAGCUUCUGUUCUCCAUGGCAGAGAACAGUUUUCUCAGGGAAAACUACUUGCAGGAACCUUCUCUAGCCUAGGAGAAAGGCAGAUGGAUGGCUUAACCUGCCUCUAGCCUUCCUGUCUCACAUAGGAGGAAAAAACAAGGCUCCACUAAA
Non-coding RNA from Callithrix jacchus (white-tufted-ear marmoset), 6073 nucleotides. The record is from RefSeq and is a predicted model, not a curated record. Lineage: Eukaryota; Metazoa; Chordata; Mammalia; Primates; Cebidae.